AGAAGACUCAGAUUCAUCAUUUAAUCAUGCAUUGCAACAUUACUUUCGGUAUCCACUACAACUAAACCAAAUCGGCUAUGAAUGGUUAUCUGCUAAAUAGCCGCAGGCCAUCCAAGAUCACCCUGCCAUUUGAUAUUAUUAAAAUAUUUACAGAAGAAGACAAACAAUAAGAGAGAAAUAUCACUAAAAUCAUGCUAAGAAUUAACUAUUUUCUAUCCGAAAUCAUCAUAGCCUCUUUAUAUAGGCCUACAAAUGGGUCGGG
Molecule: long non-coding RNA, 262 nt
Filed under: Elaeis guineensis (African oil palm)
Lineage: Eukaryota; Viridiplantae; Streptophyta; Magnoliopsida; Arecales; Arecaceae
Description: long non-coding RNA (EGUI_LNC026100)
Source: RNAcentral